UACGAAGGGGGCUAGCGUUGUUCGGAAUUACUGGGCGUAAAGGGCGCGUAGGCGGACUGUGAAGUCAGGGGUGAAAUCCCGGGGCUCAACCUCGGAAUUGCCUUUGAUACUGGCGGUCUUGAGGACGGGAGAGGGUCGUGGAAUUCCCAGUGUAGAGGUGAAAUUCGUAGAUAUUGGGAAGAACACCGGUGGCGAAGGCGGCGACCUGGACCGUAUCUGACGCUGAGGCGCGAAAGCGUGGGGAGCAAACAGG
This 253-nucleotide ribosomal RNA is filed under the name uncultured bacterium. RNAcentral's name for it is "partial 16S ribosomal RNA". It matches the Rfam family "Bacterial small subunit ribosomal RNA", at positions 524 to 776 of the family's 1533-position model. The record is from RNAcentral.